AUGAUCAGCUGUGACCAGGAGCGGACACACACAGGAAAAAGCAGUGGGCACCUACAGAGGGACAGAAACCACAACAUACAGCAAGGGGCAAAAUUGUCGCACUGUCAGAAAAAUUCCUGUCAGUGCUUCAGUGGCUCACACCUUGCAUCCAUCCACCUCACCAGACCACAGCCUCCAGACUCUGCGCCUGGCGCUGCAGGCAAAGAUGAAGCCCAAUCCAGCUGUUAUAGCUCCAGUCCUCCUCACUGCAGUAAAACCAGCCCUGGCUCUGCUGAUCAACUGAUCUUCACCACGGCCCAGGAGAGGCAGAGGACAUUUUGCACGGCGCAGGAGAGCAGAGCUGCCUCCCCCCGAGCACCGGCCGCCUGCUGCGGGGAAACCACAGGAGCAGCUGCGUGGGGCGCAGGGAGCUCGCUGCGGACUCUGGCUGGGACAGAACAUCUGUCUGUUGCUAUGGCUGCAGUACACUUGAAGGGGAUGACUGGAUAAUUAUUGCAAACAUCCAUCCUGCCUGAUGUGCUCCCGGACCCUCGCUGGCCUGAGCGCAGGGACAGCGGCCGGCAGGUUGGGAGCAGAACUUGGGCCACAGGGAUCCUACCUCGGGAUGGCAGUGCUGGCAACACCUUUUCAUUUGCAUAAUUAAUGAGGCCAAGGCUGCAGGGCUCCUGGGAAAUCCGACGCAGAGCAGCAGCGAUGAAAUGGCACGGAGGGCUCCAGCCUUCCCCGUGGCUCAGAGCUCUGCUCGCUGCUAACGCCCCGCUUUGGAGCUCCAGGGGAGUUGUUCUCCCGUUUCCAUUAAUUCACCACCCACUUCUAUCUGAACAGAUUGCUCCGGGCCCAAUCCUGCAAAUACCUCCUGCAGGCGUGGGUCCCCGGCCUGCCUGCUGACAG
This 891-nucleotide long non-coding RNA is filed under the name Anas platyrhynchos platyrhynchos (common mallard). Its description in RNAcentral is "lncRNA (ENSAPLG00000029499.1)". Lineage: Eukaryota; Metazoa; Chordata; Aves; Anseriformes; Anatidae. The record is from RNAcentral.